UGGCUCAGGAUGAACGCUGGCGGCGUGCUUAACACAUGCAAGUCGAACGAUGAUCCCCAGCUUGCUKGGGGGAUUAGUGGCGAACGGGUGAGUAACACGUGAGUAACCUGCCCUUGACUCUGGGAUAAGCCUGGGAAACUGGGUCUAAUACCGGAUAUGACCUUCCAUCGCAUGGUGGUUGGUGGAAAGCUUUUGUGGUUUUGGAUGGACUCGCGGCCUAUCAGCUUGUUGGUGGGGUAAUGGCUUACCAAGGCGACGACGGGUAGCCGGCCUGAGAGGGUGACCGGCCACACUGGGACUGAGACACGGCCCAGACUCCUACGGGAGGCAGCAGUGGGGAAUAUUGCACAAUGGGCGCAAGCCUGAUGCAGCGACGCCGCGUGAGGGAUGACGGCCUUCGGGUUGUAAACCUCUUUCAGUAGGGAAGAAGCGWAAGUGACGGUACCUGCAGAAGAAGCGCCGGCUAACUACGUGCCAGCAGCCGCGGUAAUACGUAGGGCGCAAGCGUUAUCCGGAAUUAUUGGGCGUAAAGAGCUCGUAGGCGGUUUGUCGCGUCUGCCGUGAAAGUCCGGGGCUCAACUCCGGAUCUGCGGUGGGUACGGGCAGACUAGAGUGAUGUAGGGGAGACUGGAAUUCCUGGUGUAGCGGUGAAAUGCGCAGAUAUCAGGAGGAAYACCGAUGGCGAAGGCAGGUCUCUGGGCAUUAACUGACGCUGAGGAGCGAAAGCAUGGGGAGCGAACAGGAUUAGAUACCCUGGUAGUCCAUGCCGUAAACGUUGGGCACUAGGUGUGGGGGACAUUCCACGUUUUCCGCGCCGUAGCUAACGCAUUAAGUGCCCCGCCUGGGGAGUACGGCCGCAAGGCUAAAACUCAAAGGAAUUGACGGGGGCCCGCACAAGCGGCGGAGCAUGCGGAUUAAUUCGAUGCAACGCGAAGAACCUUACCAAGGCUUGACAUGAACCGGACCGCUGCAGAAAUGUGGUUUCCCCUUUGGGGCUGGUUUACAGGUGGUGCAUGGUUGUCGUCAGCUCGUGUCGUGAGAUGUUGGGUUAAGUCCCGCAACGAGCGCAACCCUCGUUCUAUGUUGCCAGCACGUGAUGGUGGGGACUCAUAGGAGACUGCCGGGGUCAACUCGGAGGAAGUGGGGACGACGUCAAUCAUCAUGCCCCUUAUGUCUUGGCUUCMCGCAUGCUACAAUGCCGGUACAAAGGUGCGAUACUGUGAGUGGAGCUAAUCCAAAAGCGUCUCAGUCGGAUGGGGUCUGCACUCGACCCC
This 1274-nucleotide ribosomal RNA is filed under the name Pseudarthrobacter enclensis. Its description in RNAcentral is "bacterial SSU rRNA". It matches the Rfam family "Bacterial small subunit ribosomal RNA", at positions 20 to 1319 of the family's 1533-position model. The record is from RNAcentral. Lineage: Bacteria; Bacillati; Actinomycetota; Actinomycetes; Micrococcales; Micrococcaceae.